This 423-nucleotide ribosomal RNA is filed under the name uncultured Bacteroidales bacterium. Its description in RNAcentral is "bacterial SSU rRNA". It matches the Rfam family "Bacterial small subunit ribosomal RNA", at positions 355 to 776 of the family's 1533-position model. The record is from RNAcentral. Lineage: Bacteria; Pseudomonadati; Bacteroidota; Bacteroidia; Bacteroidales.
UGAGGAAUAUUGGUCAAUGGACGGAAGUCUGAACCAGCCAUGUCGCGUGCAGGUGACGGCCCUACGGGUCUUAAACUGCUUUUAUAUGGGGAUAACAGACGGGACGUGUCCCGUAUUGAAGGUACCAUAUGAAUAAGGAUCGGCUAACUCCGUGCCAGCAGCCGCGGUAAUACGGAGGAUUCGAGCGUUAUCCGGAUUUAUUGGGUUUAAAGGGUGCGCAGGCGGGCUGUUAAGUCAGCGGUGAAAUUUUGUGGCUCAACCAUAAAACUGCCGUUGAUACUGGCGGUCUUGAGUGACGUCGAGGGAGGCGGAAUGUGACGUGUAGCGGUGAAAUGCUUAGAUAUGUCACAGAACCCCGAUUGCGAAGGCAGCUUCCUAGAGGUCAACUGACGCUCAAGCACGAAAGCAUGGGUAUCAAACAGG